Molecule: ribosomal RNA, 562 nt
Filed under: uncultured bacterium
Lineage: Bacteria
Description: bacterial SSU rRNA
Rfam family: Bacterial small subunit ribosomal RNA
Source: RNAcentral
CCUACGGGAGGCAGCAGUGGGGAAUCUUGCGCAAUGGGCGAAAGCCUGACGCAGCCAUGCCGCGUGAAUGAUGAAGGUCUUAGGAUUGUAAAAUUCUUUCACCGGGGACGAUAAUGACGGUACCCGGAGAAGAAGCCCCGGCUAACUUCGUGCCAGCAGCCGCGGUAAUACGAAGGGGGGCUAGCGUUGCUCGGAAUUACUGGGCGUAAAGGGAGCGUAGGCGGAUAGUUUAGUCAGAGGUGAAAGCCCAGGGCUCAACCUUGGAAUUGCCUUUGAUACUGGCUAUCUUGAGUAUGGGAGAGGUUAGCGGAACUCCGAGUGUAGAGGUGAAAUUCGUAGAUAUUCGGAAGAACACCAGUGGCGAAGGCGGCUAACUGGCCCAUUACUGACGCUGAGGCUCGAAAGCGUGGGGAGCAAACAGGAUUAGAUACCCUGGUAGUCCACGCCGUAAACGAUGAGUGCUAGUUGCCGGCAUGCAUGCAUGUCGGUGACGCAGCUAACGCAUUAAGCACUCCGCCUGGGGAGUACGGUCGCAAGAUUAAAACUCAAAAUGAAUUGACGG